Molecule: ribosomal RNA, 468 nt
Filed under: uncultured bacterium
Lineage: Bacteria
Description: partial 16S ribosomal RNA
Rfam family: Bacterial small subunit ribosomal RNA
Source: RNAcentral
GACGAACGCUGGCGGCGUGCUUAACACAUGCAAGUCGAACGGAAAGGCCCUGCUUUUGUGGGGUGCUCGAGUGGCGAACGGGGGAGUAACACGUGAGUAACCUGCCCUUGACUUUGGGAUAACUUCAGGAAACUGGGGCUAAUACCGGAUAGGAGCUCCUGCUGCACGGUGGGGGUUGGAAAGUUUCGGCGGUUGGGGAUGGACUCGCGGGUUAUCAGCUUGUUGGUGGGGUAGUGGCUUACCAAGGCUUUGACGGGUAGGCGGCCUGAGAGGGUGACCGGCCACAUUGGGACUGAGGUACGGCGCAGAAGCCUACGGGAGGCAGCAGUGGGGAGUAUUGCACGAUGGGGGGAAGCCUGAUGCAGCAGCGCCGCGUGCGGGAUGACGGCCUUCGGGUUGUAAACCGCUUUCGCCUGUGACGAAGCGUGAGUGACGGUAAUGGGUAAAGAAGCACCGGCUAACUACGUG